Molecule: ribosomal RNA, 521 nt
Filed under: uncultured Flavobacterium sp.
Lineage: Bacteria; Pseudomonadati; Bacteroidota; Flavobacteriia; Flavobacteriales; Flavobacteriaceae
Description: bacterial SSU rRNA
Rfam family: Bacterial small subunit ribosomal RNA
Source: RNAcentral
GAGUUUGAUCUUGGCUCAGAACGAACGCUGGCGGCAUGCCUAACACAUGCAAGUCGAGGGGCAGCACGGUAGCAAUACUGGUGGCGACCGGCGCACGGGUGCGUAACACGUAUAUAAUCUGCCUUUAACAGGAGGAUAGCCCGGAGAAAUCCGGAUUAAUACUCCAUAACAAUAGAAGAGGCAUCUCUUUUAUUUAAAAGCUCCGGCGGUUAAAGAUGAAUAUGCGACUGAUUAGCUAGUUGGUAGUGUAACGGACUACCAAGGCGACGAUCAGUAGGGGAUCUGAGAGGAGUACCCCCCACACGGAUACUGAGACACGGAUCCGACUCCUACGGGAGGCAGCAGUAAGGAAUAUUGGACAAUGCCCGCAAGGGUGAUCCAGCCAUGCCGCGUGCAGGAAGACGGCCCUAUGGGUUGUAAACUGCUUUUUGUACCGGAGAAAACCUCCCCUCGUGAGGGGAGCUGAUAGUAAGGUAAGAAUAAGCAUCGGCUAACUUCGUGCCAGCAGCCGCCGCCGUAAG